GGGGUUGGAGCCGAUGAGGUUUGCCUACGUAUCUCACAUCCGGUGAGAAUCAGACCCGCGUAGUUCGGUCAAUUUUGACGGAAUACGGGAAACAUGUCACUUGAAAAUUCUGGCUCAUUUUGAAAUGACUUUUACUUUUUCUUUUUCUUUCUUCAGAAUUUCGGCAGAGUUUCAGAAUUUUCUAAAUAUCUACCUCUCACUUUCUUUUCUUUUCUUUUUUGAUUUUCUUUCCCUAUUCUUGAAGCCGGUCAACUUGCAAGACGAACCAAACAUAUGCGCAUGUAGCACGUAAGAUGCAUCAGGAUGGUCUUUUUAUUUCGGGUGCAUCUGUCCUAGACGGACCCAACCCCUGUGUUGAGUCCCCAAUGUCAAAUGCACGCGAUGUAAAUAAAAGCUACUAGUGAUCCGGCAUGAGGUUAUGUUAUUCUAAGUUUAAACUUGGGGUUGUGUUCUAGACCUGGCUUACCCGAGCGGACAAACUCGAGUCGAGGAGGGGGCAACGUACCGGGAGCACGAAAGUAUGCCUGGCCUUAUUGCUUGCCCAGCCCCGUUCUAUUUGGUAUAACUCUAACAGAAAGGUGGGUCACGCGAACGGGAGCACCAUUUUUUUAAAAGACUCAGAAGGGAGGCGUAAGAAGACAUUUAAAUGCAGUUCAAGUAAUAUCAAAGCGAUAAAUGACAAUUAGCACAUUAAGUCCACAAAAUACAGUAAUAUCAACAAUUAAGCCAAAUAAAAAACACAUUAACAAGCUCGAAUUCAUGAACCCUGAACCAGAGAUUCUGGGUUCUUGUCCCCAGCGGAGUCGCCAGAGCUAUCACACCUCCUUUUUUACCACCCGAGGGGGUAUAGGGGGAGAUUUUUCAAUUAAAGUGACAUUAUUAGAAAUGAGAUUAUUUAAUUUAUCAAAGUCGCCACUUGGAAUAAUUUAUUUGGUGUCCCAAGUCACCAGUUUAUUUUAAAAUGCCAAACUGAAAUUUUUUUGACUUUAUUAAAAAGUGCGAACCAGAAAUUCUAGAUAAACAAUUCUGAUAACCUGGGAAAAAGUGGUAGGCAUUUCCGAGUUCCGUGGUUCUAGCACGGUUGCUUAGUGAUUAUUACUUGGCUUAAAUGUUUAAUCUACUCAUUUUUGGGACAUAUGUGCACUUACCUUUUCCCGCUUUAAAUCACUUGAUUUAUUCAUAACUAAAGAAUUGAGUUAGGCAUACGUAUACUCAUUUCCUUUGACGCGUCAAAAAUCAUGUCACGCGAACGUGUCCACAAUUAAUGACGCUUUGUCAAUUAUUUAAGAAAAUUUAGUCGAAGUUGCGCGAAUGCAUUCCUCGAGUUACUUUUUAGAAUUGAAUUCAUAAUUAUGUUACGCGAACGUAUACAUAAUCACAGUAAUAGUCUAAGUCACGCCUAAAGCAAGCUACGAGUGUUCAUUAUUAGAAACCGUAAUCAUUUCACGCGAACGUGUACAUAAUCACGAUAAUAAAUUCAAAACGCGCCUAAAGGUUCGCCUACCCAAGUGUGGUCGGCCUAAUAUGCUCCUAGCGGAUAAUAUAACAAAAUAAAUAACUAAAUAAAAGGAAACUAAAUAAAAGGGGAAAUUCUAAAUCAUGCUCAUAUUCACUUGAAUUUUCAUUUUUAUGUAUUUGACCAAGCUCGAUUCCUAGGACAUGUAAACAAUUUAAUCACUAAUAAGCUCGGCCUUUUCCCACUCGCACGACCCGCAUUCAUCUUUCAAAUAAUUUCUUCCGACAGAGUCAAGCAAUGGAGCAUACAAAUAGAAGAACAUUCAGUAGAUAAGAACUAAGGAAGGCCUGAAAUAUAAUAAAGAAAAAGUGAGUCAAAGCUAUUGAGAGGAGCCAUUAAAAUAUUUCUAACCAACCCAAUUUUCCUUAUCUUUUUGAUAUGUGAGAUCCUAAAGCCCAUAAAUUUAACCUUAGAACCAACGUCAUACAAACCUUUCUUCACUUUUAUACUUACAAAUUAACCAACCGAGGCCAUACAAUAAUACAUUACCCAAUUAGCAUUUAAAUACGGUCAAAUAAAGCAAAGCAACACUUGGGCAUUAGCAUUCAAAAUUGAAGGCAAAAGUACAGAUUCCCUACAUGACCAUUUCAUUAGCUUUUGAAUAUUUUAACAAGAAAGAGCACAUGUUUAAUCAAAUUCGACCACCAAAUUAUUACUUUGGCGCAUGGGGUUCAAAGGAUCAGUAGGAAUUCUUUGGUAAGGCACAACGAAAAUAACUCUUUAAACAACCAAUGUGACAAGUUUAGAAUAUGAACGACAUGCUAGACAACAUGACUAACAAUGCUAUAUUAUGCUUUUAAAAUUUGAUCUAAUAACCAUAUAGACAAGCAAGGUCCUUAAACAAUCAGAAAAGUUAUCUGACGAUCUAAGCAAAUCGAAAGAUCUUCACUACUUGUUACCCAUUCAAAUCAGUUGACGGGCUGCAAACCAACAUGCCGGAAAUCUCAUUUCUGAAAAAAACAUGAAGUACCAAACUUUGUUCCGUCCUUAAGAUCGACUCGGAAUCAUAUUUACCUCAAAUGACGAUUUUCAUCUAUGUAACUUCAUAAUAACUUUUCAACCCACACGAAGCGUAAUCUUAACAUUAAAGAGUGAAGACAUGGAGAGAACUCAAACAACAGAACCAAGUUAGAUAAGGAAUUUACCACAAACAGAAGAACCACGUUAGAUAAGGAGCCUACCACGACUAACUUGAAUUAACCUUUCGAGCACUGUCAGCAUUUACAAUAUUUCCAAACAGAAAACUCAUUCAACAUUAUUCAUAAGGGAAUCAGCAUGACGACAAAUCUAAAGCAGGGAAUCAAACAUAUUUUAAUUCAUUCAAACUCUAACUAAGACACUAGCCGAAAGGAAACUCAUAGGGUAACAAUAACCAUCAGCCAAAAUCAGAAAGAGAAAUCGAUUAAACCCCAAACUACAUCUGAUUAGCCUAUCUUAAAAUGGCUCCUCUUUAUGGCUUUGAUUCAUAAUAUAUAUAAGAGUAGAAGGAAGAAGUGAACCUGAAUGCACCUUUAAUUAAUUAUGCUCGGAAUCAAAUACGACUAAAUCCGGCAGCGAAAAUCCACGACAAACACCAGCCAAGCAACAGGAACUAUCAAUCACGAACAGACCUCGAUCGGCGCCGCAGAACUCGAACUCCAAACGCGGCUUCAAUUAGACUUCAUCCACGGAACAUAAAUAAGGAACAAGGGGGUCUGUAUGAUUGGAGGUGGCGGAAUUGUAUAGAAAAUCUUUUGGGACAACAAUUUCCACUGUUGAAGUCGCUAGGGACAUCGAUUUAGCGUAUUAGAGUCAUGGACUAACGAGAAAAAUGGUAUCGAUUUGAUUGGGAAAAUGGGUUUAUUAGCUUGUUUGAUAAGAUGGGUUAUGGAAAUGAGAGGCAAAGUCGUGGGGAUUUUGCAGGGGUCCUCCUAGGGAGUGAUCGAUUUUGGGGAAUUUGGGGGGUGUCCUUUGGUGUUAAUGGCGGAGUCCAAAAGUCUAGGUCUCUAAGGUCUAUUUCU
This 3516-nucleotide long non-coding RNA is filed under the name Nicotiana tabacum (common tobacco). Its description in RNAcentral is "long non-coding RNA (NTAB_LNC000695)". Lineage: Eukaryota; Viridiplantae; Streptophyta; Magnoliopsida; Solanales; Solanaceae. The record is from RNAcentral.